GAUGAACGCUGGCGGCGUGCUUAACACAUGCAAGUCGAACGGAAAGGCCCAAGCUUGCUUGGGUCCUCGAGUGGCGAACGGGUGAGUAACACGUGGGUGAUCUGCCCUGCACUUCGGGAUAAGCCUGGGAAACUGGGUCUAAUACCGGAUAGGACCACAUUUUGGAUGGUGUGGUGGAAAGUUUUUCGGUGUGGGAUGAGCUCGCGGCCUAUCAGCUUGUUGGUGGGGUAAUGGCCUACCAAGGCGUCGACGGGUAGCCGGCCUGAGAGGGUGUACGGCCACAUUGGGACUGAGAUACGGCCCAGACUCCUACGGGAGGCAGCAGUGGGGAAUAUUGCACAAGGGGCGCAAGCCUGAUGCAGCGACGCCGCGUGGGGGAUGACGGCCUUCGGGUUGUAAACUCCUUUCGCUAGGGACGAAGCGUUAUGUGACGGUACCUGGAGAAGAAGCACCGGCUAACUACGUG
This 466-nucleotide ribosomal RNA is filed under the name uncultured bacterium. Its description in RNAcentral is "partial 16S ribosomal RNA". It matches the Rfam family "Bacterial small subunit ribosomal RNA", at positions 28 to 507 of the family's 1533-position model. The record is from RNAcentral.